UAGCGUUACAAUUAAUAUGCACUUUAACGUUAUGUUGUUAAUGGACAUAAAUCCUGCAGUAAUCAAUUAAUUAACUACAAAUAAAACAAUAAGCCUACAAUUAGAACACUGAUCUCUCUUCUAUCCCUGUCAAUGCUCCGUUUUCUCUUCCAAAGUGAAACUGCUCACAAAUCAACCUCAGCAUGGAUACAAAACCGAACUUCUCUCUCACUCAUCACACAGACAAACAAGACCCUUUUCUUUCUCAACCUGUAAGCAAAGAUGAACACCUCACGAUGUUCUUCGUCAAAGCCUUAGCGUAACCAUAACGAAAAACAAACUCUGAUUUCAACAAUGAAAUCCAAGACAAGAAAACCAUGACCGAACAAACACUAUAUCCAAACUUAAAUCAGAACUUAGAGCUUAGAUCUACCAACAAAUUUCUACGGAUCACAACAAAAUUUCCUAUGAAUCUACAACAAUCCGGGCUACAUGAUACUAUCGCUGCCUCAGAGAGGUCGAAUAAAGAGUGAAAGACGUCACCGGAGACUUGCGACUCCGGCGAGAAUCCGACGGAUGUUUACCUCAAGUGAGAGGUUUAACUCUAUUCCAAAAUGAGCUUCGACGUGAAUGAUCAAAAGGAAUUUUUAGAGAAGAGCUUUGAGUGAGGUUAUGGGGAUCUUUUUGCAGCGUUUCUGUCAGCGUGGCAAUAUUUUCUCCUCUUUUUCCCUUGCAGCGAUCGGGGUUGCUACCAAGAGUAACGAAGCUCUAGGAAGGAGUCCCCUUUCAAUCGGUUAGAUCCUCUUUUUAUAGAGUGAAAUGAGGUUCCCAAAAUCCUGUGCGGAUCAUUGGCAGCUGGUGCAAAAAGAAUCAUUCCGUUGGCAGGGGAUUUUCCUUAGAUUUCGUGGGGACCAAAGGUUUCUAUGUUGCUUUAAUCAUGGCAACACUAUAUACAAUUCCAGAAGCAACUGGCUCGGCUGCGAUCACUAGAGUUUCAAAUGCAUUAGGAGCUGGAUAUCCACAAGCAACACGAUUGUCUGUGUAUACUUCUAUGACUCUUGCUCCAGAUUUGCUUUGGUGUGAACUUUGUCUGGUUGCAGGACAUUGGCUUGGAAAUGCAAUCCUCCUUAAAGCUUUUGUUACCUACUGACUUGCAUCAUGAUUUACGCAAAUCAUGCAUCCCUGGUUGGCUAAGUCACAUUGCCUCUCAUGGUUUAUGUGUCCAUGUGAGCAUGUGAUGGGUUUACAUUACUCAUAGUGCCAUGGUCGGUUAGCUCAUUUGGUUUCAAUGCCUGAUUAUGAAGCUAUUUUGUUAUCCAUUUGAUUGCUGUUGCAGGUUGCAGUUUAGUCAAAAUUCUUCUUGGAUGGUCUGGACUGUUGUGUGUAGCUUAAAUUUGUAGCAGAAUUUGGUUGUAACUUUGGUGAACCUUCUGUUGUAACAGGUAGUCUCGAAACCAUGUGUGCAGCCCAAUUCCACAUCUAUGCAUUGUGUCAACGCCGACGAUGAUAGGUGUCCUGCAGCAGGUUAUUUGUACAUUAGUUUGAAGGGUUGUAAUGUAUUGUUCUCCUUGUAUUUGAUGCUUUUUGUGGUUUUGUAUUGACAGUCCGGGUCUUGUGACGACAUCUCUUCCUGCAUUCUCAAAUGGCACUGACUUUUGGAUUUAAAAUCCUGUGUGUUAUCGUCUCCUGCUAGAAGGUGUCUUGCGUGAAAAAGCCUUUGGGAGGUUAUUCAAAGUCUCCCUAGUAUCUCACGCUUGGACCGACCAUCAGUUAGAACUAACUAGGGUUAUUUAUAUGUUUGUGUACUGGUUUUGAUUAUGGCUGUAAUGCUUGUAAAGCAAUUGACUUAGUAUGUCAAAACAACGAUGUAACCGAUUGUAAUGUGAUGAUGCGUCUGGUUUUUGUUUUGUCAACCGUUGUAACACCCAUUGUAAGGUUCCUUAUUGCCAAUUCUCGCUUGA
Molecule: long non-coding RNA, 1940 nt
Organism: Lathyrus oleraceus (garden pea)
Lineage: Eukaryota; Viridiplantae; Streptophyta; Magnoliopsida; Fabales; Fabaceae
Exons: 5
Source: RefSeq, a predicted model, not a curated record